This 239-nucleotide ribosomal RNA is filed under the name uncultured bacterium. RNAcentral's name for it is "partial 16S ribosomal RNA". It matches the Rfam family "Bacterial small subunit ribosomal RNA", at positions 92 to 334 of the family's 1533-position model. The record is from RNAcentral.
CGAGUGGCGGACGGGUGAGUAAUGUCUGGGAAACUGCCUGAUGGAGGGGGAUAACUACUGGAAACGGUAGCUAAUACCGCAUAACGUCGCAAGACCAAAGAGGGGGACCUUAGGGCCUCUUGCCAUCGGAUGUGCCCAGAUGGGAUUAGCUAGUAGGUGGGGUAAAGGCUCACCUAGGCGACGAUCCCUAGCUGGUCUGAGAGGAUGACCAGCCGCACUGGAACUGAGACACGGUCCAG